Molecule: ribosomal RNA, 301 nt
Filed under: uncultured bacterium
Lineage: Bacteria
Description: partial 16S ribosomal RNA
Rfam family: Bacterial small subunit ribosomal RNA
Source: RNAcentral
CAGUCGCCACGGUAAUACGAAGGGGGCUAGCGUUGUUCGGAAUUACUGGGCGUAAAGGGCGCGUAGGCGGAUAUUUAAGUUGGGGGUGAAAGCCCGGGGCUCAACCUCGGAAUUGCCUUCAAUACUGGAUAUCUUGAGUUCGGGAGAGGUGAGUGGAAUGCCGAGUGUAGAGGUGAAAUUCGUAGAUAUUCGGCGGAACACCAGUGGCGAAGGCGACUCACUGGCCCGAUACUGACGCUGAGGCGCGAAAGCGUGGGGAGCAAACAGGAUUAGAUACCCGCGUAGUCCCUGUCUCUUAUAC